Molecule: long non-coding RNA, 974 nt
Filed under: Mus spicilegus (steppe mouse)
Lineage: Eukaryota; Metazoa; Chordata; Mammalia; Rodentia; Muridae
Description: lncRNA (ENSMSIG00000006146.1)
Source: RNAcentral
GCUCUGUCUUGAUUUCCACAUGGAACCAGAUCAUCAAAGAGACUGCUCUCAGUGAGUUCACUGUGGAAAGUGUUUUCAGGAUUAAGCACGCCUCCUUUUUACGUCUCCGAUUCUACCUCCCCUGUGAGAUGCUCUUCACCUGCCUCCUCCUCUGACUCCAAUCUAUCAAAGUAAAGAUCUUCAGGAUCAAUGGUUGUGAAUUUAAAAGAAUUUCAGUUCAGAUCCAGUCUUGUAUUUGGAAUAGUCUUGUUGGUUUCCCAUGACAACAAGAAAGAUGUGAAGGCAAAGACCGCAGGACUGGAAUUCUUGAAGAAAGUCAGCCUCCUCAUGGUAUGCUCCCAUGACAUCCAUAUCUGCUUCCCAAGCCUUAGGGAGGAAGUCCUUCGACAGCCAGAAAGGGACUCUGGGAUCUAGUGUGAGAGAUAUAUCUGCAAUGGCGUCCUGUGUAAAAUUUAGCCUUGAGGAUGUGGAAGAUAGACUCCAGGCAGAUGCCAUUAACAGGAUGUUCAGAUCUCAGUGGAGCACCUGCUGGAGAUGGAAUACUUCAAUCUGAGGAUGGCACCCAUUUACACUAUCCUCUGCAAUUCAACCUUAACACCAAGCCUACUGUCCAGCCUAGGAGAAAAUGUUCUGAGAGACAGAACUGCUCGGUGCUAGGGCAGGUGUUUGAAGGAUUCUUUGCUGUACUGUGGGUACCUGUCUCAGGGGCAAGACUUCAGCCCUGGUUGCUUGUAUUACCCUGUACACUGGAGAAGUACCUAGGCAAACAAACGCUGUUCCUUUUCCAGGACUGGCCAAUAUCUAUCUCAGCUGACUACAACUGAAGGGCAGAGGGACUAUCCUGCCAAAUGUUCCAAAGGCAGAUAUAUAGAGCUACUUUCCAGAUACUGGGACUGGACCCCACAGUGGUGAGUACGUUUCUUGGGAAGCAUAAUAGUUGACAGUGAUUUCAAAUGUGUAUCUUCCUAUCACAA